GGACAGGUGGCCGAGUGGCUUAAGGCGCACGCUUGGAAAGCGUGUGAACGUGCAAGCGUUCCGAGGGUUCGAAUCCCUCUCUGUCCG
This 87-nucleotide transfer RNA is filed under the name Roseibium marinum. RNAcentral describes it as "Labrenzia marina tRNA-Ser". It matches the Rfam family "tRNA". Rfam says of the family: Transfer RNA (tRNA) molecules are approximately 80 nucleotides in length. Lineage: Bacteria; Pseudomonadati; Pseudomonadota; Alphaproteobacteria; Hyphomicrobiales; Stappiaceae. The record is from RNAcentral.